RNAcentral lists this ribosomal RNA (370 nucleotides) under uncultured bacterium. Its description in RNAcentral is "bacterial SSU rRNA". It matches the Rfam family "Bacterial small subunit ribosomal RNA", at positions 335 to 695 of the family's 1533-position model. The record is from RNAcentral.
ACUCCUACGGGAGGCAGCAGUGGGGAAUAUUGCACAAUGGGCGCAAGCCUGAUGCAGCCAUGCCGCGUGUGUGAAGAAGGCCUUCGGGUUGUAAAGCACUUUCAGUCGUGAGGAAGGUAGUGUAGUUAAUAGCUGCAUUAUUUGUACGUUAGCGACAGAAGAAGCACCGGCUAACUCCGUGCCAGCAGCCGCGGUAAGUACGGAGGGUGCGAGCGUUAAUCGGAAUUACUGGGCGUAAAGCGCAUGCAGGUGGUUUGUUAAGUCAGAUGUGAAAGCCCGGGGCUCAACCUCGGAAUAGCAUUUGAAACUGGCAGACUAGAGUACUGUAGAGGGGUAGGAAUUUCAGGUGUAGCGGUGAAAGUGCGUAGAG